AUAAUUCAGUGAUGAAUCUCGAAUGUGCACUGGGCAAGGUGAUGAUGCUGGAACUUUUGUUUGGUGCCGUUCCAGUGAGAUUUAU
Molecule: small nucleolar RNA, 85 nt
Organism: Thalassophryne amazonica
Lineage: Eukaryota; Metazoa; Chordata; Actinopteri; Batrachoidiformes; Batrachoididae
Product: small nucleolar RNA U83B
Exons: 1
Source: RefSeq, a predicted model, not a curated record